GUGAAUCAUAGGGAGCAAGUGCGUUUCUAGAAAUAUGUCGAGCAACCGGCAUCAUAGCACGACAAUGAUCAGUGUAGUGUACAUGUCUAUUAGCGCGUAUUGUGUCCUUAAGCAUUUAGCUGAAAAUUACUAAAAUUAAGAGGAAAAAUGGUGCGUAACUACGUGCGCAAAAACCCAAAAAGGAUCAUCCUCAGAAGAUGCCAUUCGUGGUACCUUAGAAGCGAUUCAAAAUAAAGAGAUGUCAAUUAAAAAAGCUAGUGCGGUUGUUAGUAUUCCGAGAACUAUACAAUCACGAUUAAAGCGUCGACAGCUCACUCCACUUAUAAACCACGGCAGGUUGAAACCCGUAUUCACUGAAAAAAUGGAAAAUGAAUUAUGUGAACACAUAAUUUUGUUGGAAAAACUGUUUUGUGGACUUUCGACCACAGAUCUUUGAAGGAUUGCAUUUCAAUUUACUGAAGCCAAUCAAAUAAGUCAUCCUUUUAAUAAAGAACUGGGUGAGCUCAUUUUUAAAUCGUCAGAAAAUCCUCUCCAUUCGAAGAUCUGAAAAAACCAGCAUUGCAAGAGUAACAGGAUUUUCCAAUUCUAGGGUUAAUGAUUUUUUUCAAAACUUAAAAAAGGCCCUUAGACAAGUUUAAUUUUUCGCCGCAUCGGAUUUUUAACUGCGAUGAGACGGGGAUUACCUGCGUUCAAAAACCGGGAAAAAUUUUAGCUGAAAAGGGAAGAAAGCAAGUGGGAAGAUUAACUUCUUUAGAGAGAGGAAAAAACACAACUUUAUUAGCUUGUGUCAGCGCUACAGGUACGUUUAUUCCACCAUUUAUGGUCUUCCCUCGUGUUCGAAUGAAUCCUGGUUUUUUGAGCGGUUCGUUUCCUGGAGCAGUAGGAUCUCCUGCUCCAUCAGGCUGGAUGGAUGCUGACCUAUUUAUCAAAUUUUUAAAUUAUUUUAUAGGCUGCACCAAAACAACAACAGAUUGUCCAAGUCUACUUAUACUAGAUGGACAUUCAAGUCAUAAGUCCAUUAAUUUAGUAAACCUGGCUAGAAAAUCAGGAGUUUCUAUUAUAACCUUACCUCCUCACACAUCAAAUAAGUUGCAACCGCUAGACGUAAGUGUCUUUGGACCAUUUAAAACCUAUCUGGCAGGAGAAAUGGAUCACUGGCUUACAAAUCAUCCAGGCUCUAGGAUCACAGAAUAUGAUAUGGCUCCUAUUAUUAAAAAUGUGCUUAUUAAGGCUUUUACACUAAUAAAUAUUAUUAAGGGUUUUGAAAAAACAGGAAUCUACCCAUAUAAUCCAUAUGUGUUUCAAGACAGUGACUUUGCGCCAGCCGUAAACAUUCUUCAAAAGGAAUGUAGGACAGAAAACAUUAAUCCCGUCGAGGGUCCCGUAAUAAGUGAUGAAGUCUUGUUGAGAAAAGAUGAUAUCCAGAGUACUUCUAAAUAAUUAGUAAACAAUUUUGAACAAGAGCAACCAUCAUGUAGUUAUGUUUCAGUUUCAACUUUAAGCCCAGUUCCAUAACCCUCUCAAAAGAAUGAAAAUGCCAAAUCCAAAUUUAGGCGCAUAGAAGGAUCUAAAAUAAUAACCAGUUCUCCUUACAAAGAUCAAUUGGAAGAAAAAUUAAAACCAGUGAAAGCUAAGCAAGCAAAAAAGAAACUAGACGACAAAGCUAGUAAUGGAUAAAAAUUAAAAGAAGGAAUUUCUAAGCAAAAGAAGCAAAGUCAAGAGCAGAAGAGGAACAACACAACACAAAAACAAUGCCGGACGAAGAGAAAAACACAUUAAGCAUUUACUAUUAUGAGACCUACGAAGAGACACUUGUUCUGAAGAAUGGAUAAUGUGCAUGCAAUGUGGUGCCUGGUUACAUGAGGAUUGUUCCGAUAAUGAGCCAAGUACUAAUAAUUAUGUUUGUAACAAUUAUCGUUGAUUAAUUAGCAUUCGGACUCACUUGCCUCAGGUGGGUGACUCACUUACUCCUAUAACUUGGGGCAAGAGAGUCAUUUUUCUUUUUUUGUUUUAAGUUUGAUAUUUUUCCAAAGAGUUAAUGUUUAGUUUAUUUUUAAGGUUAUGUUAGAAUGUUUGAAACCGAUUAAACUCGUGUUACAAACGA
This 2104-nucleotide long non-coding RNA is filed under the name Anthonomus grandis grandis. Its description in RNAcentral is "uncharacterized LOC126737585". Lineage: Eukaryota; Metazoa; Arthropoda; Insecta; Coleoptera; Curculionidae. The record is from RNAcentral.